CUCUUUUAAAUAUUAUUUUAAUAAUUAUUCAUAUUUCAAGAACAGGAAGGCAGGUCAUUUUUCAAGUUUCUUAGAAUCAAAUCAUAACUCAGAAUGUAUGUUUCUCUUCCUAAUACAAGUUUUCAUCCACAUAGUGCUAUAAAAUAGUUCAUUUCAUUAUACUUCCAUUGGCCUUGUUGUUGCAGAUGUAUCUGUAUGUGCCCAGCUGAAACUAAAUUAAAUUUAGAUUUCAGCUGUCUUUCCCAUUGGCUUUCCUUUCUGCCAACACUCCCUAGCUACCUGAGUUUAACCCUUUCAUCACCAGGUGCUGAUCAGCUCUUCUGCUAUCCAUCACAUCCUCAAACACUUCCCAUUUUCUUCUGUAAAUACGCAAAAUACAAUAAGCAGAAAUAAUAGGUGAGAAAGGAGGUAUCCAGCACGUUUUCUCUUGUCCAUCAGCAUAUUAAAUAUCAGUUAGCAUUUCAUUGACACUGUACUCAGAGUGUAGUAAAAUAGUUUCUUGAGCCUUCUAAAAUUACCACUAGAUGACAGUGUAAGUCAGGGCAGUAGUCGUUAAGCUUUGUUAUUCAGAAUAACUGUUAGUACAGUCUGUGCUAUUUUGAGAGGAAAGUAGUGCCUGUCUCAAGAUUGUGGCUGGGUGGAUUAGUUCAUGUUUUCCUGACCUGCAAACAUUGAUGAUGUAUUGGCCAUACUGACAUACCAGUGCCUGCACAGUAAUUAAAAAGUACCUCUUAUGGCUGAUAAACAGAGGUUUGGUGGUGGUCCUAAAAUGAGCAUAUAAGUGUUACUAGCAUAUGUACCUGGCAUUGCUCGGAUCUUUAACUCUUUUGGGGGGCAGAUGAGAGGGGAUGCAGAAGUCAGGGGAGGAGAUGGGGGGGGCUCAGGGUGAUGGAUGCAGAAGGCAGGGCAAGGGGCUAGGAGGUGUGGGAAG
Molecule: non-coding RNA, 931 nt
Organism: Pelodiscus sinensis (Chinese soft-shelled turtle)
Lineage: Eukaryota; Metazoa; Chordata; Testudines; Trionychidae
Source: RefSeq, a predicted model, not a curated record